ACACGUCAGCGACCUCAAUAAAGAAGAAAUUUGUUACAAGCGAACGCUUUUAAUAUCACCAGCCAUAUCAAAAUACAUUAGUUCAAGUAGCUAAUAUGGCGAGAACAGAGGAAUUCAUUAACGAGUUCAUAUGCUUCUUAUGUAAGACGCAGUAGAUGAUCGCCAAACUAUAACUGUCAACAAUUGAAAGUUACGAGAAUUUGCAGAUGUCAUAGAAAAAUCGAGAACAGCAAUUGAUGAUGCUGAUCUUCAAUGUCUGAUGAGCUUGAAGAAAAAAUAUGCACAAGUAUUUACGAAAUCUAUUCUCCGGUUCCAUUCCCCUCAAAACUACAAAUUCUUGUUGCAGAUAGUGUAUUUUUAAACCGAAAAAUUUGCAGAAGAUCAAGAGAGAAGGGCUUGCACACGAACCAGGUACAAACAGUAAGGAUGAUUUCAUUUGUGGAGAGUGUCGAAAGGGGGCGAAGAUAUCUCUAACAAUACAGUGCUUUCGCACUGAAAAGCAAGGCUUGAGAAUGUGAAAACACAUUUCAGUAACUGAUUGAGGAGCAACCACAUUAGUUUAAUAAGCUAUAGCACAAUCUUUACUCCUUCAUCUUUGAUGUCAAAAAAAUCAUUUUGGAAAAACUCGAAAGAGAAUCGGCGUGGUUCUUACCAGGUAUUCAAACUUGAUACGAACAAAGCUUUAUGUUGUAAAUACGCACCAUGUGCUAGGAAUUGCAUGAAACAUUUACUAUAUAUCGAAGAAACGGGUUUAUGUCCUGGACAGGUGGAUCAAAAAUUGGGUCAGAUUUCGUUAGGGACAAAAUUCUUGGAGGAUCUAUGGGAAAUCUUGGAGGAAAUUUUACCACUUGAGGAGAUAC
Long non-coding RNA from Xenia sp. Carnegie-2017, 860 nucleotides. RefSeq lists it as uncharacterized. The record is from RefSeq and is a predicted model, not a curated record. Lineage: Eukaryota; Metazoa; Cnidaria; Anthozoa; Malacalcyonacea; Xeniidae. The transcript has 10 exons.